CACACACAUUAUUCACACACAACAGAAGUUCACUCAGUCUCAGUGCUUUCAUUCAACCAUCAGCUACUCUCAUAUUUUUAUUCAUUUUAUAAAACCACAUUCAGCAUAGUUGAGUUAAUAAUGAUUAUAUAAUGAAUCAAUUUAAUAAGUACUAGAAAUUAAAAAUCUGAUCUUUAUAGUGUACUUCAGUUAAGAUGGAGGAGAGGCUGAUGAUACUCAUAAUGAUCAUCACAGUUUCAGGCAUUUAUGCUGAUAGAAUUGGUCCAAGAGAAGGAGACACUAAUAUAAUCAGAGAAGAAGGAGAGUCUGUGACACUGAGCUGCACAUAUGAAACAAACAGCAAUAAUAUUUAUCUCUUCUGGUACAGACAAUAUCUAAACAGAGAACCAGAAUAUAUACUGUAUAAAGGCGCUCGAUCACGGAGCAGUGAGGAUAUACCAGAUGGGUUUCAGUCAACUACAUCCCGGACAUCCACUGAACUUACUAUUGUAAAAGCAGCUCUGUCAGAUUCUGCUCUUUAUUAUUGUGCACUUCGAGUAGCCCAGUGAUACAAAAUACCAGAGAAGCUUUACAAAAACUCACAUGAAAUUAAUGCUUUGAAGAGUUUUUAAUCAAGCAGUAUCAAAACACAUCAUGUUUUAUAAACCACAAACAGUGAAUGUGGUAACAGCUGUGAAUUUGGGAGGUUAAAAAUGUUGCAUAAGGGCAUGUGAAUAUAAUAUACAGUAGCAUGCAUCACAUGGUUUCACAUUAUCACUUCUCAGUUAAAUCCUUGCAAAACAACAAAACACAAAAAAAACUUAUUUACAUUCAUGAUUAUGAAUUUUGUUCUUCAGGUGUCACUUUUCUGAAUGUCAGCACUAGUCUGAAUGAUAAAAAAGAAGCAAUUCAUAAAAGUUAAAUAAAACCAUUACAUCACACAUUACAUCAUUACAACACUUUCUGACAGAGGCUUCCUCUGUUAAUCAGUAUAUUUGACAACUAAAAUGCAGGUCUAAAUUCUAUUAAGGCUAAUGAAAAAUAUGAAUUACCUGGUGAGUUAACACCACAAACACAUUCAGGAUCAGAGAUCAGAGAUCUAUGAUCAGAGAAAGAUGAUCUGAUUCAUAAAUUCAGGAUCGCAGCUUUAAGAGAAGGUACUCUCUGGAGACACCCUCAGCUAGAAAAUGAAUGAAUGUUUAGUUCAGUAACACUCUGUCAUGCUGAUGAACCUGAAAACCAUCAUCCUGAAAAUGAUGCUUUGUUGUAUGCCUUUGCUCUGGUCUCUUUCAUUUCAACCCUCAUAUUUCUCUUCAUCUGGUUCAUUUGUAAGUCUAGA
Molecule: long non-coding RNA, 1318 nt
Filed under: Carassius auratus (goldfish)
Lineage: Eukaryota; Metazoa; Chordata; Actinopteri; Cypriniformes; Cyprinidae
Description: lncRNA (ENSCARG00000043693.1)
Source: RNAcentral